This 506-nucleotide ribosomal RNA is filed under the name uncultured bacterium. RNAcentral's name for it is "partial 16S ribosomal RNA". It matches the Rfam family "Bacterial small subunit ribosomal RNA", at positions 29 to 523 of the family's 1533-position model. The record is from RNAcentral.
AGUGAACGCUGGCGGUAGGCCUAACACAUGCAAGUCGAACGGCAGCACAGGAGAGCUUUCUCUCUGGGUGGCGAGUGGCGGACGGGUGAGGAAUACAUCGGAAUCUACUCUGUCGUGGGGGAUAACGUAGGGAAACUUACGCUAAUACCGCAUACGACCUACGGGUGAAAGCAUGGGACCUUCGGGCCUUGCGCGAUUGAAUGAGCCGAUGUCGGAUUAGCUAGUUGGCGGGGUAAAGGCCCACCAAGGCGACGAUCCGUAGCUGGUCUGAGAGGAUGAUCAGCCACACUGGAACUGAGAAACGGUCCAGACUCCUACGGGAGGCAGCAGUGGGGAAUAUUGGACAAUGGGCGCAAGCCUGAUCCAGCCAUACCGCGUGGGUGAAGAAGGCCUUCGGGUUGUAAGGCCCUUUUGUUGGGAAAGAAAUCCAGCUGGCUAAUACCCGGUUGGGAUGACGGUACCCAAAGAAUAAGCACCGGCUAACUUCGUGCCAGCCGCCGCGGUAA